This 138-nucleotide small nucleolar RNA is filed under the name Ornithorhynchus anatinus (platypus). The record is from RNAcentral. Lineage: Eukaryota; Metazoa; Chordata; Mammalia; Monotremata; Ornithorhynchidae.
CACCUCUCAGUGUCACACUUGGAGAGUUUCCAGUCCUCUACCAGUCUCGACUACAGGAGGGAGAGUCAAGCAGAGGUCUACCCAUUCCAUUCCUGGCUUGGGCAGUGGCUAGCGAGCGGAAGGCCAUCUGCUACGAGU